RNAcentral lists this ribosomal RNA (253 nucleotides) under uncultured bacterium. RNAcentral describes it as "partial 16S ribosomal RNA". It matches the Rfam family "Bacterial small subunit ribosomal RNA", at positions 524 to 776 of the family's 1533-position model. The record is from RNAcentral.
UACGUAGGGUGCAAGCGUUGUCCGGAAUGAUUGGGCGUAAAGCGUCUGUAGGUGGCUUUUCAAGUCCGCCGUCAAAUCCCAGGGCUCAACCCUGGACAGGCGGUGGAAACUACCAAGCUGGAGUACGGUAGGGGCAGAGGGAAUUUCCGGUGGAGCGGUGAAAUGCAUUGAGAUCGGAAAGAACACCAACGGCGAAAGCACUUUGCUGGGCCGACAUUGACACUGAGAGACGAAAGCUAGGGGAGCAAAUGGG